RNAcentral lists this ribosomal RNA (408 nucleotides) under uncultured bacterium. Its description in RNAcentral is "partial 16S ribosomal RNA". It matches the Rfam family "Bacterial small subunit ribosomal RNA", at positions 28 to 526 of the family's 1533-position model. The record is from RNAcentral.
GACGAACGCUGGCGGCGUGCUUAACACAUGCAAGUCGAACGAAGUGGCGAACGGGUGAGUAACGCGUAAUCAACCUGCCCUUCAGAGGGGGACAACAGUUGGAAAAGACUGCUAAUACCGCAUACUGAAGGAGGGGAUUGCGUCUGAUUAGCUAGUUGGAGGGGUAACGGCCAACCAAGACGAUGAUCAGUAGCCGGUCAGAGAGGAUGAACGGCCACAUUGGGACGUAGACACGGCCCAGACUCCUACGGGAGGCGGCAGUGGGGAAUCUUCCGCAAUGGACGAAAGUCUGACGGAGCAACGCCGCGUGAGUGAAGAAGGUUUUCGGAUCGUAAAACUCUGUGGUUAGAGAAGCGGUAUCUAACCAGAAAGCCACGGCUAACUACGUGCCAGCAGCCGCGGUAAUAC